RNAcentral lists this ribosomal RNA (484 nucleotides) under uncultured bacterium. Its description in RNAcentral is "partial 16S ribosomal RNA". It matches the Rfam family "Bacterial small subunit ribosomal RNA", at positions 30 to 507 of the family's 1533-position model. The record is from RNAcentral.
AUUGAACGCUGGCGGCAGGCCUAACACAUGCAAGUCGAGCGGCUGCAGGGAGCUUGCUCCCGGAUUCCGCGGCCGACGGGCGCGUAAUGCCUUGGCACGUGCCUGGUCGUGGGGGCUACCGUCCGGAAACGGGCGCUAAUACGGCAUACGUCCUGUGGGAGCAAGUGGGGGAUUUUCGGACCUCACGCUAUCAGAUGAGCCUAGGUUGGAGUAGCUAGUUGGUGGGGUAACGGCAUAGCAAGGCGCCGAUCCGUCACGGGUCUGAGAGGAUGGUCAGUCACACUGGAACUGAGACGCGGUCCAGACUCCAACGGGAGGCGGGGGUGGGGAAUAGUAGACAAUGGGCGGAGCCCUAAUCCGACCAUGCCGCGUGGGGGAAGAAGGUCUUCGGAUUGGAAAUCACUUUAGGUUGGAAGGAAGGACAGUAAGGUAAUACCGUGCUUUUUUGACGUUACCAACAGAAUAAGCACCGGCUAACUUCGUG